ACCGAAUAGGGUAUAGGCUAAGCCUUUUUGGGCAUACCUGAAACAGGGAUUCUGGAUGCCCGAGGCUUUCGCACCUUUGGAGGAGUAAUUCGUCCUCCCAGUUAUAGCGAUCCAUAAAUCCUUAGGAGAAAACCCGUCUGGGACCGCUUCGGGUCCGUUCAGAGGGAGUCGGAGUAUUGCAGCUAACUCCUCAAUAGAUAAUUCAUGAUAAUUGUUAAACAACAGAAAACGUAAGGUACCGAAAUAAUACUUGGUUGUGUUAAUCCACCGCUUUUCCAG
This 279-nucleotide long non-coding RNA is filed under the name Lathyrus oleraceus (garden pea). RNAcentral's name for it is "Pisum sativum (pea) long non-coding RNA (PSAT_LNC024199)". Lineage: Eukaryota; Viridiplantae; Streptophyta; Magnoliopsida; Fabales; Fabaceae. The record is from RNAcentral.